RNAcentral lists this ribosomal RNA (190 nucleotides) under uncultured Oscillospiraceae bacterium. RNAcentral describes it as "partial 16S ribosomal RNA". Lineage: Bacteria; Bacillati; Bacillota; Clostridia; Eubacteriales; Oscillospiraceae. The record is from RNAcentral.
GGAGUCUGGGCCGUGUCUCAGUCCCAAUGUGGCCGAUCAACCUCUCAGUUCGGCUACUGAUCGUAGCCUUGGUGGGCCGUUACCCCGCCAACAAGCUAAUCAGACGCAUCCCCACUCCCUUAGCGAUGAAUCUUUGGUAUUACUCAGAUGGCCUCAUAAUACAACAUAGAGUAUUAAUCCGACUUUCGUC